RNAcentral lists this ribosomal RNA (558 nucleotides) under Conus glans. RNAcentral's name for it is "partial 16S ribosomal RNA". It matches the Rfam family "Bacterial large subunit ribosomal RNA", at positions 1797 to 2621 of the family's 2925-position model. Lineage: Eukaryota; Metazoa; Mollusca; Gastropoda; Neogastropoda; Conidae. The record is from RNAcentral.
CGCCUGUUUACCAAAAACAUGGCUUCGUGUUAAACCGUAAAAUACGAAGUCGGACCUGCCCAGUGAAUUUUAAACGGCCGCGGUACUCUGCCCGUGCAAAGGUAGCAUAAUCAUUUGCCUUAUAAUUGAAGGCUGGAAUGAAUGGUUUGACAAGAAUACAUCUGUCUCUUUUUGAUUUCCUAGAAUUUUAUUUUUGGAUGAAAAAGUCCAGAUAUUAUUAAAAGACAAGAAGACCCUAUCGAGCUUUAGAAAAAUUCAAUGGACUCAAUAACAAUCAAUAGAAAUAAAAGAAGAGCCAUUAAGUGUACUUUGGUUGGGGCAACCGAGGAGCAAAUAAAGCCUCCUUUAAUCUUUAAGUCAGACGUGUGUUGAUCCAAAACUAUUGAUCAAAGGAAUUAGUUACCGUAGGGAUAACAGCAUUAUCUUUUUUGAGAGCCCAUAUCGAAAAAAAGGUUUGUGACCUCGAUGUUGGACCAGAAUAUCCUAAAGAUGCAGAAGUCUUUAAGGGUUGGUCUGUUCGACCAUUAAAAUUCUACGUGAUCUGAGUUCAGACCGGGA